AAGAUUUUAAGUUAAUUUAAACUAGAGACCUUCAAAGCCUCAAAUUAUAAGUCUUA
This 56-nucleotide transfer RNA is filed under the name Songthela hangzhouensis. Its description in RNAcentral is "tRNA-Trp". Lineage: Eukaryota; Metazoa; Arthropoda; Arachnida; Araneae; Liphistiidae. The record is from RNAcentral.